RNAcentral lists this ribosomal RNA (450 nucleotides) under uncultured Glomeromycotina. RNAcentral's name for it is "SSU rRNA". It matches the Rfam family "Eukaryotic small subunit ribosomal RNA", at positions 569 to 1025 of the family's 1831-position model. Lineage: Eukaryota; Fungi; Glomeromycota. The record is from RNAcentral.
AGCAGCCGCGGUAAUUCCAGCUCCAAUAGCGUAUAUUAAAGUUGUUGCAGUUAAAAAGCUCGUAGUUGAAUUUCGGGAUCAAUACGUCGGUCGUGCUUCGGUACGUACUGGCGUCAUUGAUUUCUCCCUUCUGACGAACCAUGAUGUCAUUAACUUGGUGUCAUGGGAAAUCAGGACUGUUACUUUGAAGAAAUUAGAGUGUUUAAAGCAGGCUCACGCUUGAAUACAUUAGCAUGGAAUAAUGAAAUAGGACGUUCGAUCCUAUUUUGUUGGUUUUAGGAUCAACGUAAUGAUUAAUAGGGAUAGUUGGGGGCAUUAGUAUUCAAUUGUCAGAGGUGAAAUUCUUGGAUUUAUUGAAGACUAACUACUGCGAAAGCAUUUGCCAAGGAUGUUUUCAUUAAUCAAGAACGAAAGUUAGGGGAUCGAAGACGAUCAGAUACCGUCGUAGUC